This 253-nucleotide ribosomal RNA is filed under the name uncultured bacterium. RNAcentral's name for it is "partial 16S ribosomal RNA". It matches the Rfam family "Bacterial small subunit ribosomal RNA", at positions 524 to 776 of the family's 1533-position model. The record is from RNAcentral.
UACGUAGGGUGCAAGCGUUAAUCGGAAUUACUGGGCGUAAAGCGUGCGCAGGCGGCUUUGCAAGACAGAUGUGAAAUCCCCGGGCUUAACCUGGGAACUGCACUUGAAACUACGAUGCUGGAGUAUGGCAGAGGGAGGUGGAAUUCCACGUGUAGCGGUGAAAUGCGUAGAGAUGUGGAGGAACACCGAUGGCGAAGGCAGCCUCCUGGGCCAAUACUGACGCUCAUGCACGAAAGCGUGGGGAGCAAACAGG